Molecule: ribosomal RNA, 253 nt
Filed under: uncultured bacterium
Lineage: Bacteria
Description: partial 16S ribosomal RNA
Rfam family: Bacterial small subunit ribosomal RNA
Source: RNAcentral
UACGUAGGUGGCUAGCGUUGUCCGGAUUUACUGGGCGUAAAGAGCGCGCAGGCGGUCGGUCAAGUCGGGUGUGAAAGCCCCCGGCUCAACUGGGGAGGGUCACUCGAUACUGAUCGACUUGAAGGCGGGAGAGGGAAGCGGAAUUCCCGGUGUAGUGGUGAAAUGCGUAGAUAUCUGGAGGAACACCGGUGGCGAAGGCGGCUCUCUGGGCCAUUACUGACGCUGAGGUGCGAAAGCUAGGGGAGCAAACGGG